RNAcentral lists this ribosomal RNA (461 nucleotides) under uncultured bacterium. Its description in RNAcentral is "bacterial SSU rRNA". It matches the Rfam family "Bacterial small subunit ribosomal RNA", at positions 29 to 533 of the family's 1533-position model. The record is from RNAcentral.
AACGAACGCUGGCGGCAGGCCUAACACAUGCAAGUCGAGCGCCCCGCAAGGGGAGCGGCGGACGGGUGAGUAACGCGUGGGAACGUACCCUUUGCUACGGAAUAGCCUCGGGAAACUGGGAGUAAUACCGUAUGUGCCCUUCGGGGGAAAGAUUUAUCGGCAAAGGAUCGGCCCGCGUUGGAUUAGGUAGUUGGUGGGGUAAUGGCCUACCAAGCCGACGAUCCAUAGCUGGUUUGAGAGGAUGAUCAGCCACACUGGGACUGAGACACGGCCCAGACUCCUACGGGAGGCAGCAGUGGGGAAUCUUAGACAAUGGGCGCAAGCCUGAUCUAGCCAUGCCGCGUGAGCGAUGAAGGCCUUAGGGUUGUAAAGCUCUUUCAGUGGGGAAGAUAAAUGACUGUACCCACAGAAAGAAGCCCCGGCUAACUCCGUGCCAGCAGCCGCGGUAAAACUAACUCGUA